CCCGGAUGAUCAAAAUAAAGUUGUGGAGAAUAUGAAGAAUGAAACAGAGACACAUGAGAACAACAAGAACAGGACUGGAGGCAAGGCUAAACGUAAGUCCAGUGGCAGUGCCAAGAAGACUUCCGUGGAGGAGGACAGCAGCAUUGAGUCUUCUCAGACACCCGGGUGUGGUUUCCGGGAAAGGGGAUCUAUCAUUGAGCAGCUGGAGAAGGA
This 213-nucleotide long non-coding RNA is filed under the name Salmo trutta (river trout). Its description in RNAcentral is "lncRNA (ENSSTUG00000048359.1)". Lineage: Eukaryota; Metazoa; Chordata; Actinopteri; Salmoniformes; Salmonidae. The record is from RNAcentral.